GUCAGAAUAGUUUAAAGGGUUAAAACCUAUAUCUCAUACGUAUAAAAAGGAAGUUCGAAUCUUUCUUCUGACU
This 73-nucleotide transfer RNA is filed under the name Pneumocystis oryctolagi. Its description in RNAcentral is "tRNA-Met". It matches the Rfam family "tRNA". From Rfam's summary of the family: Transfer RNA (tRNA) molecules are approximately 80 nucleotides in length. Their secondary structure includes four short double-helical elements and three loops (D, anti-codon, and T loops). Further hydrogen bonds mediate the characteristic L-shaped molecular structure. tRNAs have two regions of fundamental functional importance: the anti-codon, which is responsible for specific mRNA codon recognition, and the 3' end, to which the tRNAs corresponding amino acid is attached (by aminoacyl-tRNA synthetases). tRNAs cope with the degeneracy of the genetic code in two manners: having more than one tRNA (with a specific anti-codon) for a particular amino acid; and 'wobble' base-pairing, i.e. permitting non-standard base-pairing at the 3rd anti-codon position. The record is from RNAcentral. Lineage: Eukaryota; Fungi; Ascomycota; Pneumocystomycetes; Pneumocystales; Pneumocystaceae.